AGCCUUGCGAUGAAGCGAAGAAGUACUAUCUAAAUUCAUUACAGAGAGUCAUUGGUUUGCUGGAAGAUGAUAUGAAUAUUUAGGAAAUUAAUCGUGGAGCAACUUCAACAUACUUUAAAGCGCAUACAACAAUGUAUGAACUAAGGUGGUACCGCGCGUCAAGCGUCCUUAGA
RNAcentral lists this non-coding RNA (173 nucleotides) under Bacillota bacterium. RNAcentral describes it as "Firmicutes bacterium T-box sequence". It matches the Rfam family "T-box leader". From Rfam's summary of the family: Uncharged tRNA acts as the effector for transcription antitermination of genes in the T-box leader family. T-boxes are found upstream of many aminoacyl-tRNA synthetase genes and some amino acid biosynthetic genes usually in Gram-positive bacteria. Lineage: Bacteria; Bacillati; Bacillota. The record is from RNAcentral.